RNAcentral lists this transfer RNA (68 nucleotides) under Ctenolepisma villosum. RNAcentral describes it as "Ctenolepisma villosa tRNA-Ser". The record is from RNAcentral. Lineage: Eukaryota; Metazoa; Arthropoda; Insecta; Zygentoma; Lepismatidae.
AGGAGGUAGGUUGAAAAUAAAUUCAAGAAAAAGCUGCUAACUUUUAUCUUUAGCGGUUAAACUCCGUU